Molecule: non-coding RNA, 221 nt
Organism: Cinara cedri
Lineage: Eukaryota; Metazoa; Arthropoda; Insecta; Hemiptera; Aphididae
Source: the annotation of a GenBank genome assembly
UGCACAGGUACGUGUACCGGAUAUUUAUAAUAUCACCGAUAAUCGGUACGUACAAAAAUUGCAUUGUACGGAUGACACGAGAAAUAACUUUUGUUCUGUUCAAUAUUUCGUAAGUGGUUUUUUUUUUCGUUCACAAUUAACUACCAGUGCCUUGCGCUACGUGAUUCCGUUAUUAUAUGUGUGCAUUAAAAAUCAAAUUAUUUUAGAAACCAUUUGUCUUA